RNAcentral lists this ribosomal RNA (229 nucleotides) under uncultured bacterium. RNAcentral describes it as "partial 16S ribosomal RNA". It matches the Rfam family "Bacterial small subunit ribosomal RNA", at positions 104 to 334 of the family's 1533-position model. The record is from RNAcentral.
CGGGGUGAGUAAUGUAUGGGGAUCUGCCUGAUGGCGGGGGGUAACUACUGGAAACGGUAGCUAAUACCGCAUAAUGUCUACGGACCAAAGCGGGGGACCUCCGGGCCUCGCGCCAUCAGAUGAACCCAUAUGGGAUUAGCUUGUAGGUAAGGUAACGGCUUACCUAGGCGACGAUCCCUAGCUGGUCUGAGAGGAUGAUCAGCCACACUGGAACUGAGACACGGUCCAG